RNAcentral lists this ribosomal RNA (301 nucleotides) under uncultured bacterium. Its description in RNAcentral is "partial 16S ribosomal RNA". It matches the Rfam family "Bacterial small subunit ribosomal RNA", at positions 509 to 807 of the family's 1533-position model. The record is from RNAcentral.
CAGUAGCCACGGGAAUACAGAGGGUGCGAGCGUUAAUCGGAUUUACUGGGCGUAAAGCGUGCGUAGGCGGCUUUUUAAGUCGGAUGUGAAAUCCCUGAGCUUAACUUAGGAAUUGCAUUCGAUACUGGGAAGCUAGAGUAUGGGAGAGGAUGGUAGAAUUCCAGGUGUAGCGGUGAAAUGCGUAGAGAUCUGGAGGAAUACCGAUGGCGAAGGCAGCCAUCUGGCCUAAUACUGACGCUCAGGUGCGAAAGCGUGGGGAGCAAACAGGAUUAGAUACCCCUGUAGUCCCUGUCUCUUAUAC